RNAcentral lists this transfer RNA (90 nucleotides) under Chloroflexota bacterium. Its description in RNAcentral is "Chloroflexi bacterium tRNA-Glu". It matches the Rfam family "tRNA". From Rfam's summary of the family: Transfer RNA (tRNA) molecules are approximately 80 nucleotides in length. Their secondary structure includes four short double-helical elements and three loops (D, anti-codon, and T loops). Lineage: Bacteria; Bacillati; Chloroflexota. The record is from RNAcentral.
GGAGGCAUGACCAGAGCGGUCUAUUGGACCCGGCUUUCACCCGGGCGGGGUGUCGCAGCACCCCCGUGGGUUCGAAUCCCACUGCCUCCA